This 438-nucleotide long non-coding RNA is filed under the name Mytilus galloprovincialis (Mediterranean mussel). Lineage: Eukaryota; Metazoa; Mollusca; Bivalvia; Mytilida; Mytilidae. The record is from RNAcentral.
UUUUCGUCAGUGUUGUUCGUUUCAUAAUUAUUGUUAGAAGCGUUUUCACAUUUUACUGACGUAUUUGAAUAUUUUAUCAAUAAAGUAAGUUAAAACGAUUAUGUGUUAUAAAAUUGAGAAUGGAAAUGGUGAAUUUGUCAAAGAGAGAACAACCCGACCAUAGAACAGACAACAGCAGAAGGUCACCAAUAGGUCUUCAAUAUGUUGGUGUCUCUUUGGAGGUUGUAGUCUACUAUAUUGAAGUAGAAUGAGUAUUUAGUGACGUGAUUAAAAACAAACAACGGCAGAAGCCCGACCAAGAAACCAGACAAGAAACUAUACAUUUGUAUCCUUUCAAUUUAGCUAAUAAAUAAGGAGAUAUUUAUAUGAGUGCCAAUGAGACAAAUUUCCGUCCAAGUCACAAUAUAUAAAAAGUUUACAAUAAUUGUAAAAACAUAU